UACGUAGGCAGCGAGCGUUGUUCGGAGUUACUGGGCGUAAAGGGUGUGUAGGCGGUUGUUUAAGUUUGGUGUGAAAUCUCCCGGCUCAACUGGGAGGGUGCGCCGAAUACUGAAUGACUUGGAGUGCGGGAGAGGAAAGUGGAAUUCCUGGUGUAGCGGUGAAAUGCGUAGAUAUCAGGAGGAACACCGAUUGCGAAGGCGGUACUCUGGGCCGGAACUGACGCUGAGGAGCGAAAGCGUGGGUAGCGAACAGG
Molecule: ribosomal RNA, 254 nt
Filed under: uncultured bacterium
Lineage: Bacteria
Description: partial 16S ribosomal RNA
Rfam family: Bacterial small subunit ribosomal RNA
Source: RNAcentral